RNAcentral lists this ribosomal RNA (433 nucleotides) under uncultured Delftia sp. Its description in RNAcentral is "bacterial SSU rRNA". It matches the Rfam family "Bacterial small subunit ribosomal RNA", at positions 355 to 774 of the family's 1533-position model. Lineage: Bacteria; Pseudomonadati; Pseudomonadota; Betaproteobacteria; Burkholderiales; Comamonadaceae. The record is from RNAcentral.
UGGGGAAUUUUGGACAAUGGGCGAAAGCCUGAUCCAGCAAUGCCGCGUGCAGGAUGAAGGCCUUCGGGUUGUAAACUGCUUUUGUACGGAACGAAAAAGCUCCUUCUAAUACAGGGGGCCCCAUGACGGUACCGUAAGAAUAAGCACCGGCUAACUACGUGGCCAAGCAGCCGCGGUAAUACGUAGGGUGCGAGCGUUAAUCGGAAUUACUGGGCGUAAAGCGUGCGCAGGCGGUUAUGUAAGACAGAUGUGAAAUCCCCGGGCUCAACCUGGGAACUGCAUUUGUGACUGCAUGGCUAGAGUACGGUAGAGGGGGAUGGAAAUUCCGCGUGUAGCAGUGAAAUGCGUUAGAUAUGCGGAGGAACACCGAUGGCGAAGGCAAUCCCCCUGGACCUGUACUGACGCUCAUGCACGAAAGCGUGGGGAGCAAACA